GUCUACAGCCCUACCACCCUGAACAUGCCCGAUCUCGUCUGAUCUCGGACGCUAAGCAGGGUCAGGCCUGGUUAGUACUUGGAUGGGAGAUUCUGGAAUUCCACCUGUGGGCC
This 113-nucleotide ribosomal RNA is filed under the name Prolemur simus (greater bamboo lemur). Lineage: Eukaryota; Metazoa; Chordata; Mammalia; Primates; Lemuridae. The record is from RNAcentral.